UGGACCUGUCUCUUCUCCUGUUCCCCUUCCUUGGACGUUGUAUCAGCCUUUCCACUACCUGCCUAAGGACCAGCUGGUCCUGUUGGAGAUACAGGUGUACCUGGACCUCAGGGACCCCCUGGACCACAAGGACUCCAUUAUUUGACCUCCGAAAUAUGGAAAAGCUGUGUCUGUUUCUGGUGAAGCAUUGGGAUGAGGAGCGUCGCCAGAAAAUCUCAUCAAACUCAACCCGUGUGUUUAAGCUGCACCUGGAGGCUGUCCUCUUGAAGAUUUGUGGCUAAAUUAAUAUAUAAAUCAUUGUUGACUAAACUAUUGAUACAAGA
Molecule: long non-coding RNA, 323 nt
Organism: Melanotaenia boesemani (Boeseman's rainbowfish)
Lineage: Eukaryota; Metazoa; Chordata; Actinopteri; Atheriniformes; Melanotaeniidae
Exons: 3
Source: RefSeq, a predicted model, not a curated record